GGCUCAAUCAUCUAUUAAGGCUUUCGCUGGUCGUAAUGUCAGUCACUUCUCAUCUACAACCAUAGUCCUUGAUGUUCAUUUCUGAAGGAGAUGACGGUGACAUCACAGACACUGAUUUGUUCCUGUUUGACUUUCAAAGAUAACAGGAAAUGACAUGAAGACUCACCAGCUGCUUUCGGCAAUGAAAAGAGAACACAUUGUGAUUGCCAGGGUCUUUAACAUGCCCAGUACACUGUGAACCUCCAAGAGAAUAGAAAUUGACCACAAUACAUUUCGAACAGAAGGCCAUAUGAAGAUCUCCCAGACCAAGAAAAUACCAGCGAACAAAGCCUAGAAAAUGCUGUCUUCAGGAGGCUUGGAAGUACUUAAGCUGCUUUUGAACUCGGAUACCUGUUCUGCACCCUGGCCAGUUGAUGCAAGCCUAAUGUUUCCCUGUCUUUUCACAAACAACAAAGCUAAUGGCUAAGGUGCUCCUCCCAUGAUGCCAUGUUCUGAUACAGCCAGCGGAGCCGUCACCAGAGGAUGAACUCACGGGGCCUUCAAUCUUGGCCUUCUAGUUUCCGACAUGGCAACUGGAACAAGAUAGUCAGAAGGGGUCAAGGCGGGAAGCAAAGGCUUCCAGAGUCCAGAGGAUCAUUGACCUCGGGGGAGCGAAGAUGAUCCCUGUGAAAGCUUUGGCAAUGAAGUUCACGGUGCCGUCUGAGACGGAGAGAAAGCCGGCGAGCAUGCGAAGCCCCUCACUGAGAGAAAAGGGAAGAGAAAACAGCUCUGGUGACUGGGUCUGUUACAUUUCCCAGAAUGGUUCCCAGCGCUGGAGAUAAUUCCUUUUCGGAGAACCUACAUUUCUCACCUGCUGAUUGCAAUUAGCCACUGCCAGCUGGGGCCUGGUGUGCAGCUGAAAAGCUAACAAGAAGUGGAGACCACGCGGAACCCAGACAGGGCACAGGAUGUGCAUAAAUAAAGAAUGGUGCCCGCCCGUGUUUAUGAGCCGCCCCUGUGAAUUCCAGGCUGCCCAGCCCUCCGCACGGCCCUCCCUCUUCUGCCUCUGUGCCGCCUCUGGUUUUGCAGCCUACACUUAACAUCACAGUCACGAAUUUACCACUAAGUACAUUUUGUUAGGCAAUAAACAGCCUUGAAAGAAAAAUGAAAUCAGACGAGGACUUGUGUUGCAAGAAUGCUUGUGAGCAGUGGUGGGUUCAGGCAGUCUAGAGCUAAACUUGACCAAGAGAGGGCUGCCUCAGUUUAUGGACAAAGACAUUGAACCUCAGAAAGGGGUGGGGGGAGCAUGGCUUGUUGGCUUAUCCAAAGUCUUAGAAGAAGCCCCAGGAGGUCAAGUCCAUGUGCACACUGAUCCCCAGUUUAGGGCUUAAAUCGCUGAAGCGCCUUGCCUUUCAGCAUUGAGGCUGGAGAGUUUGGGAGGACAGCACCAAGGAGAUUGCGGGAGGUUAGCAGAGGGUCCGUCUCUACCGGGCCCUGUGGGCUCCCCACCUGCCGCAACACUUCCUUCGCAUCCCAUCGCUCAGCUCUGGCUCCCGCAGCCAGCCUUCCUGCCCUAGGUGUUUUCAUCCAGGCUUCCUACUCGUGUCUCCCUGGCCCACAGCUGCUGAUGCCCCCCAGAGCGAGUGCGCUCAGCCGUCAGGGUUGUCCUAGGGUUGUUCUGCAGCCAAAGGUAGGGAACGGACGUCUGAUAGGGGGAAGGGAGCAGCUGUCUCGGGAGCUUUCCUGCUUCUGCUUGGUGGGAUUGAGCAGCACCCUUCCCCGGCUGCCCCACUCCCAGGAUCCAGUCCUCUCUGCCUCACUCACCUUUCACCAGGACAGGCCUCACAUGACUCCGGGUCAGGAAGUCCCAUAGGCUGCCAGACAGCAAGCGCUAAUGAAAAGAACCUGGACUUUGGGCUGGGACUCCAGCCGAGCUGUGUCGUAGACGCGCCCCUCAGCCUGCUUCUUCUUGCAGCCCACGGAGACUCAGAAUACAACGCUUAGGAUUGGGAUUUCUGACAGGGCACAUGAAAGAGGCUUUGGUAGAAUAGGGUCUCUAUAAGAUUCUUGUUUUUCUUCCUUCCAAUACUAACUCUCCAUUUUAUGGAUGAGGAAAACCGAGGCCAAAGCAAGUAAAGUUGCUCUCUCAACGUUCUUUCAGCACCUCCAGUCAAUUACUUUAUCUUCGCUGAGGCGCUCAGGGAAGAAAUCGAGAUGAGCUUUGCUACCCAUGCUCCAAAGACAAGGACUUCCACAUGCUGGUAAUAUUUGUGAACAAAGGGGCUGGAGGGCAGAAGUGGGGAGAAAGCUCUGGUUUGCAGGCUUUCUGAUUUUGAUUUUGAGGUAAUUUUAAUUUCGACUCAUACGCAGUUAUAGAAGCAAUAUAGAGAUCUCUCUUCACCUGCUUUCUUGCAAUGGUACUGUCAUGCAAAACUGCAGUACAAUAUGACAACCAGCAUAUUGACAUGAUAUAAACCACCGACUUUCAUAUAUUCCCAGUUUUGCUUGUACCCAUUUGAGUGUGUGUAUGUGUGUAUGUCUGUUUAUUUCUAGGCAAUUUUAUCACAUCCUUAUGUUUCUGUGGCCGCCACUACAGUCGAGAUACAGAACUUUCUAUCACCACAAAGAUCCUCUGUUGUCACUGCCACCUCCCCCUUUUCUACCUUGUCCUGUCUUUAACCUUUUACAACCUCUAAUCUGUCCUCCAUUUCUCAAUUUUGUCAUCUCAAAAUGUUACAUAAAUGGACUCUAACAACUUAGAACCUUUUGACCUCGCAUUAUGUCCCCCAGCAUAAUUCUCCCAAAUUCAAUUCAAGUUAUUGUGUGUAUCGGUACUUCAUUCCUUUUUGUUUUUGCACAAUAUUCCACGCUAUGGGUGUAUUGCAAUUUGUUUAACCCAUUCUCCUGUUGAAGAAUAUCUGGGUUGCUUACAGAAUUGGAUUAUUAUGUAUAAAGCUUCUACAAAAGUUCAUUUACAGGAUUUUGUGUGAAUGUAAAUUCCCGUUUCUUUGGAAACUUUGCGCCCUUCCUAAGCAUGCAGUUGCUGAGUUGCACGGCAGCUGCAUGUUCACACGGUUGUUCUCCUGAUUGGCUGUACCACCCCACAGCCCCAUGUGAGUAAUCCAGUAAUGCCUACUCAUCAGCAUGUGGUGUUCCUGCUAGUCUUUAUUUUAGCCAUCCCGAUAGGCGCAGAAUGGUAGUUCUUGAUGGUUUCAGUUUGCAUUUCCCUCAUGGCUAAUGUUGCUGAACAUCUUCUCAUGUGUUUUUUUUUUUAUCAUCUUUUUGUGAAAUAUCUCUUCAUGUGUUUCGCUCACUUUCUAAUUGGACUAUCUGUUUUUAUUGUUGAGUUUUGAGAGUUCUCUAUGUAUUCUAGAUACUAGUCCUCUGAGUCAAAUAUGUGGUUUGCAAACAUUUCGUUCCAGUCUGUAGCUUGUCUUUUCCGCUUCCUAACAGGGUGUUACACAGAGCAAAAUCUGGUCAUUUGGAUGAGGUUCAAUUUACCAGUUUUUUUUUUUUUUUCAUUUUAUUGGUUGUAUUUUUGUGGGAAGUCUAAGAAGUCUUUGUCUAUAUCACAAAGACUUUUUCACCCGUUUUCAUUAUAAAUGCUUAUGCUACAGUUUUAUAUUUCAUAUUUAACUCCACGAUUCAUUUUGAGUUAUUUUUUUCUAUUAGGUAUGAGAUUUAACAAAAGGUUCUUUUUUAAAUUUUUGCCUAUGGAUGUCUAAUUGUUAAAGCAUUGUUUGCUGAGAAAGCUAUUCUUUUCCCCUUGAAUCACUUCUAUAUCUUAGUCAAAACUGAAUGGGGUGUAUUUCUGCGGGUCUAUUUCUGGGUUUUCUAUUCUGUUCAAUUGAUCUACACAUCUAUUUCUCUACCAAUAACACACUCUUGAUUACUGUGGCUAAAUAAUAAGCUCUAAUACAAUUGCCUUUCAUUUCUUACCAUAGAAAAUAUAACAAAACAAUCCUCAUAAGGAAAGCAAUUAAAGAGGAAGCAAUUAAAAACUGUAGGGAAAACAUAUUAUAGAAGUAUGCCAGGAAGUUAAUUAAUAGAAAUACUGUUUUUAAAACAUUUUUGUGAUGUUUUAUGGUGUUUUCGACCUUUCAAAUUUGUAACUCAUUGUGAUUUAUUUCUCAUGCUAAGUAAAUGUUCAUUUACAUACUUUAAAAAAAUAAUAAGCCUUACUAUUGGGUGGAGUGAUUUUUUUUUCUGCUUUUACAAUUCUUUUUCAAGAUUGUCUUGGCUUGGUCAGCAUUGUGCCAUAGUGGGUUGAGCUGCCACCUGUGACACUGGCAUCUCUUGGGCACCAGUUCUAGUUUCAGCCGGUCCACUUCCAAUUGAGCUCCCUGUUAAUACUCCUGGGAAAGCAGCAGAAGUACUUGAGCCCCUGCCACCCACGUGGGAGACCUGGAUGGAGUUUUAGCUCCUGGCCUUGGCCUGACCCAGCCCUGGCCAUUGCAGCCAUUUGGGGGAGUGAACCAGCAAAAUAAAUAAAUCAUUAAAAAAAAAAAAUUGUCUUGGCCAUUCUAGGGCAUAUGAUUUUCCAGAUAAAUUUUAGAGGAAGUUUAUUUGUGUCUACAAAGAAUCUUGCUGGAAUUUUGAUUGGAAUUGCAUUAAACCUAUAUAGCAAUUUGGGAAGAACUGACAUCUUCGCUAAGUCUUCUAAACCACAUAUUGAAAUAUCCAUUUAUUAGGUUUCUUGAUAUCUUUUUUCAGCAUUUUGUAAUUUUUGGCACACAGAUCCUGUAAAUGUGUUAAGUAUAUACUUGAGUAUUUCUUUUACUAUAUAGAUCUCACAAAUAUUUUGUUAAGUGCAAACCUGGAAUAGUAUUUGCAGUCACCUUGAAGUUACUGAAAAUUGUAUUCUGCUUUUAAUUCAGGUUUCCACAUAUCCACUGUUAACAAAUAAAAUGUGCUGCUUUUAUAUCCAGCAACUUUACUGAACUCCCUUCUCAGUUCUAGAAAUUUUGUGUAUGUGUACACUCAGUGGAAUUUUCUGCACAGACAAAAUGUCAUUUGCAAGCAGAGAUGAAAUUUUAUUUUUCCUUUUCUGAUCAUUAUCCUUUUUAGUGUUUUUUUCUUGCCCAUUGCACUAAAACUUCCUAUACUCUGGCAAAUACAAGUAGUCAGAAUGAACAGCCUUACUUUGUGCCUGAUCUUAGGGUGAGAGAAAGAAGUCAUUUACCAGUAAAUAUGAUACUAGCUGUAAGUGCCUUACAAAUGCUCUUUGUCAUUGUCAUUCCUGUUUGCAACUUAUUGAGUUUUUUCAUGAAAGGUGGUGGAUUUUCAAUUUUUUAUUUCUAUUGAUAUAAUCAGAUGACAUCUUUGUUGACUGAUGACUGAUUUUGAGUGUGGAACAAGUUUUGUAUAUGUAGAAUGAGUAUGGCAUAUAAUUAUUUGUACACAUUACUUGAUGAGAUUUGGUAAUAUUUUGUUGAGGAUUUUUGUUUCUAUGUUCAUGAGUUAUGUAGACCUGUAGUUUUGUGGCUUUCUACUGUCAUUUUAUACUUCUGGCGUCACUAAAACGCGGGCCUCAUGGAAUGAGUUGGGAAUUAUUGUUUCCUCAUCUAUUUUCUGGAAGAGAUUGAAUAAAAUUGCUGUUAAUUUAAAUGUUUUGCAAAAUUCUCCAGUAAAUUCAUCUGGGCCGGUGGGUUUUUUUGGGGGAGCUUUAAAUUACAAAUUUAGCUUCUUUAAGGGUUAUAGCAGUAUUUAUGUUAACUGUUUUUUCUUGAUUGCUAUUUGCCAAUUUGUGGGUUUUGAGAAACUACUCCAUUUCCCCUAACUUGUCAAGUGUAGGAGCAUGAUGUUGUUAUCUUUCCAAUGACUUCAGGCUCUGUGGUGAUAUCUUUUCUUUCAUUCCUGAUAUUGACAAUUUGUGUCUCUUCUGUUUUUGUACGUGUCAGUUUUGUUAGAUGUUUAUCAAUUGUAUUGAUUUUUUUCCCAAGAACCAGCUUUUUGUUUCAUUGAUUUUUUUUUCUGUUUUCAAUUUCAUUUCUUUCUGCUCCUUAGAGAGGGAGGGGGGAGGGGAAAUGCUCCCAUCCACUGGUUCAUUCCCCUAGACAUCACAAUGGCCAGGGCUAGGCUGGGGUUAAAAUCAGGAGCCAGGAACUCAAUCCAGGAUUCCCACUUGGGUGGCAGGAACCCAGUCACUUGAGCCAUCACAGCUGCUUUCCUAGGUCUGCAUUAGCAGGAAGCCCGGUACCAAACAGGCACUCCAACACGGAAUAUGAGCAUCCCAGCUAGUAUCUACACUAUUGGACAAAGGCUAGCCAUGGUUUCUGCCAAUAUUUUAUUAUUUCCAUCUAUCUGCGUGUUUGGCUUUAUUUUGAUCUUCUUUUUCUUACUAGUUGAGGUAGAAACUUAAAUUAUUAAUCUGAGAUCUUUCCUGUUUUCUAAUAUAAGCAGUUAGUGCUGUAAAUUUUCCCUUUCAGCAAUGGUUUAGUUGCAUCCCACAAAUCUUUAUAUGUUGUAUUUUAAAUUUAAUUUAGUUCUAUGUAUUUUAAAUUUAUUCUUUGAGACUUUCUCUUGGGCUCAUGGAUUACUUAGAAGUACAUUAUUUCAUCUUCAAUUAUUUGAAGAUUUUCUUGUCUUUUCAAAAUUGAUUUCUAUUUUGGUUCCAUUAUAGUGGAAGAACAUACCCUGUAUGUUUUCAAUGCUUUGAAAUAUGUUGAAGUUUGUUUUAUGGCUUAGGAUAUGAUCUUUGUAAAUGUUUAUUUUUUAAUCUACUUUAAAUGCAGAGCAACAGAGAAAGAGAGUGGAGCAUGACAGAGGAAGAGAGAGGAAGGAGAGAGAGAGAGAGAGA
Non-coding RNA from Oryctolagus cuniculus (rabbit), 6778 nucleotides. NCBI's taxonomy places the organism in Eukaryota, Metazoa, Chordata, Mammalia, Lagomorpha, Leporidae. The record is from RefSeq and is a predicted model, not a curated record.